Molecule: ribosomal RNA, 388 nt
Filed under: uncultured bacterium
Lineage: Bacteria
Description: bacterial SSU rRNA
Rfam family: Bacterial small subunit ribosomal RNA
Source: RNAcentral
GACGAACGCUGGCGGCGUGCUUAACACAUGCAAGUCGAGCGGUAAGGCCCUUUCGGGGGUACGACGAGCGGCGAACGGGUGAGUAACACGUGGGUGACCUGCCCUUAGCUCUGGGAUAAGCCUGGGAAACUGGGUCUAAUACCGGAUAUGACUCCAUGACGCAUGUUGUGGGGUGGAAAGCCUUGUGCGGCUAGGGAUGGGCCCGCGGCCUAUCAGCUUGUUGGUGGGGUGAUGGCCUACCAAGGCGACGACGGGUAGCCGGCCUGAGAGGGCGACCGGCCACACUGGGACUGAGACACGGCCCAGACUCCUACGGGAGGCAGCAGUGGGGAAUCUUGCGCAAUGGGCGAAAGCCUGACGCAGCGACGCCGCGUGAGGGAUGACGGCC